RNAcentral lists this ribosomal RNA (292 nucleotides) under uncultured bacterium. RNAcentral describes it as "partial 16S ribosomal RNA". It matches the Rfam family "Bacterial small subunit ribosomal RNA", at positions 335 to 644 of the family's 1533-position model. The record is from RNAcentral.
CAUCCUACGGGGGGCAGCAGUGGGGAAUAUUGCACAAUGGGGGAAACCCUGAUGCAGCGACGCCGCGUGAGUGAAGAAGUAUUUCGGUACGUAAAGCUCUAUCAGCAGGGAAGAAAAUGACGGUACCUGACUAAGAAGCCCCGGCUAACUACGUGCCAGCAGCCGCGGUAAUACGUAGGGGGCAAGCGUUAUCCGGAUUUACUGGGUGUAAAGGGAGCGUAGACGGCAGCGCAAGUAUGGAGUGAAAUCCGAUUGCUUAACCAUGGAACUGCUUUGGAAACUGUGCAGCUGG